UUGGGGGUAGUAUAAGUAUAUUAUAUUUAGUUUACACCUAUGAGAUAUUACAUUAAUAGUAGUUCCCCAAA
This 71-nucleotide transfer RNA is filed under the name Cucullaea labiata. Its description in RNAcentral is "tRNA-Val". Lineage: Eukaryota; Metazoa; Mollusca; Bivalvia; Arcoida; Cucullaeidae. The record is from RNAcentral.